RNAcentral lists this ribosomal RNA (483 nucleotides) under uncultured bacterium. Its description in RNAcentral is "partial 16S ribosomal RNA". It matches the Rfam family "Bacterial small subunit ribosomal RNA", at positions 29 to 507 of the family's 1533-position model. The record is from RNAcentral.
AUUGAACGCUGGCGGCAUGCUUUACACAUGCAAGUCGAACGGCAGCGCGGGCUUCGGCCUGGCGGCGAGUGGCGAACGGGUGAGUAAUACAUCGGAACGUGCCCAGUAGUGGGGGAUAGCUCGGCGAAAGCCGGAUUAAUACCGCAUACGACCUAGGGUGAAAGCGGGGGAUCUUCGGACCUCGCGCUAUUGGAGCGGCCGAUGGCAGAUUAGCUAGUUGGUGGGGUAAAGGCCUACCAAGGCGACGAUCUGUAGCUGGUCUGAGAGGACGACCAGCCACACUGGGACUGAGACACGGCCCAGACUCCUACGGGAGGCAGCAGUGGGGAAUUUUGGACAAUGGGCGAAAGCCUGAUCCAGCAAUGCCGCGUGUGUGAUGAAGGCCUUCGGGUUGUAAAGCACUUUUGGCGGGAACGAAAAGGACUGUGCCAAUACCACGGUUCGAUGACGGUACCCGCAGAAUAAGCACCGGCUAACUACGUG